RNAcentral lists this ribosomal RNA (203 nucleotides) under Ochromonas sp. CCMP1393. Its description in RNAcentral is "partial Bacterial small subunit ribosomal RNA". It matches the Rfam family "Bacterial small subunit ribosomal RNA", at positions 762 to 963 of the family's 1533-position model. The record is from RNAcentral. Lineage: Eukaryota; Chrysophyceae; Chromulinales; Chromulinaceae.
UGGGGAGCGAUGAGGAUUAGAUACCCUUGUAGUCCACGCCGUAAACGAUGAGUGCUAAGUGUUAGGGGGUUUCCGCCCCUUAGUGCUGCAGCUAACGCAUUAAGCACUCCGCCUGGGGAGUACGGUCGCAAGAUUAAAACUCAAAGGAAUUGACGGGGCCCCGCACAAGCGGCGGAGCAUGCGGAUUAAUUCGAUGCAACGCG